UGAUGUUGCCAAAUUGCUUUGGGUU
This 25-nucleotide unclassified non-coding RNA is filed under the name Mus musculus (house mouse). RNAcentral describes it as "oocyte_clustered_small_RNA681". The record is from RNAcentral. Lineage: Eukaryota; Metazoa; Chordata; Mammalia; Rodentia; Muridae.